UACGUAGGCAGCGAGCGUUGUUCGGAAUUACUGGGCGUAAAGAGUGUGUAGGCGGUGUUCCCAGUCUGUUGUGAAAUCUCCCGGCUUAACUGGGAGGGUGCAGCGGAAACUAGAAUGCUAGAGGGUGGGAGAGGUAAGCGGAAUUCCUGGUGUAGCGGUGAAAUGCGUAGAUAUUGGGAAGAACACCUGAGGCGAAGGCGGGUUGCUGGGCUGAUACUGACGCUGAGGCGCGAAAGCCAGGGAGCAAACGGG
Molecule: ribosomal RNA, 252 nt
Filed under: uncultured bacterium
Lineage: Bacteria
Description: partial 16S ribosomal RNA
Rfam family: Bacterial small subunit ribosomal RNA
Source: RNAcentral